GUCCCUGAAACAGCAGGGACCGAGUUUGGCGACUCGAUUAACAACGGCGGACAGCCGCCACACGCGGCAUUUUU
Molecule: small RNA, 74 nt
Filed under: Ralstonia pseudosolanacearum GMI1000
Lineage: Bacteria; Pseudomonadati; Pseudomonadota; Betaproteobacteria; Burkholderiales; Burkholderiaceae
Description: Ralstonia solanacearum GMI1000 isrK Hfq binding RNA
Rfam family: isrK Hfq binding RNA
Source: Rfam by way of RNAcentral